AGGAGAAGAAUAUUAUAUUCAUUGUAUAAUUAAAUAUUGUAUAAGGAUUAGCAGAGAAUGAAUCGAUGUGUGUGUACGUGAGUGUGUAUGUGUAUGCACGUGUCAUUGUAUCUACGUAGCAGCGGUGUUUACUUCUCAACGUUCAGCUGCGGAGAAUGUUUCGAGGCAAUUUGAAUUGAGCAUUCGAUACGCAGAUCUCGGCGUGUUCUGACAUAAUAAGUAUUAUAUUUGCAACAGACGCAGAAAAAUGAAGUUUUCUUCCCUUCUCAACACGUUGUAUCAUUUCUACGCAAACCUGGAGUAUGUCAUGGCAGAUAAUCAGAAGGAGGCUGGGUUUGCUGUCGUGGUUCAAAGAGCUCCAUUAAGACUCCAUUAGAGGCGUUGCGGAAGAAGUCCUUCGUGUUACGGGAAGUUACGUCAGCGUUGCACGUUGCAAAAUGUCGAUCGGCCUGGGGGUUAUCGUAGCUCGAAUACUUUCAGAUAUCCACGGCGAGGGUCGAAAGUCGUUCAUUUCCCAAUACGAUCAGGCCACGCCGAGCAGAUACGAGUAUACGGUUUAAUACGACCACGUAAAUGUCUGUGUUGUUUAUGGACAUACAAACAGUGAGACAUGGCGAAUGUACGGUAUAGAGCUUGCAAGAGAAUAUUCCUCGCGACGUAGCAGGAAACCACUUCGUAUCACGAAGUUACCUUUCAAAUAGUUGGAAGAAAUUACAGGAGGAUAUUUUUGAACGUAGGGAAACGUUGAGUAUUUUAAACAGUUGUUGAAGUGGAGGAUAAUGCAUCGAGGAUUCCGAACGAGGCUGAACGACUUUACGGAGCAGAUAAUAUUGAACUAAAUGGGAAAAGAGGUUUUUAGAAAGGUAAGUUCUAAAAAUAAUUUUUACCGAGCAAAUAGCUUUUUUACGUUCGGUCUCUUUAAAUGAAUAAUCGAACGAUAAUUUCAAAGUAGAGCAGCAUAUGGUCCCAAUUGAAGAAAGUAACAAUUAUUUUAAGUUUUCUUCGAGGAGCUUGAAGCUUCUUUAAAAAUAACCUCUUCUCAUUUAUUUAUUUGGUUCACGUCAUAUGAAACUCGCAUAUUUUAAGCGAUAAUGAGGUCAGAAUGCACAUGUAGAUCGAAGUAACAUUCUUAAAUAAUUUAAAACUUCUCAAACUGCGAGAUUAAAGGCACGAGCAAUAAAGAAAAAUUUGUUCUAAGGCAGAAAGGAUUAGAGUUAAAAUAUAAAGCAAUUUAGCCUCAGUAUUCUUUUGAAUAUAACAUCGCUUGGCUGCAACAAUUCUCCAGAUAGAACUGUCUUGAAUUAUUUCGAUUGGAGUCGUUCUCUGGACGCGAAUUUCACUGGAGACGUUGUCGUGGAAAUAUCCUGCUUCUGCAUUCAAUUGCAUGUGAU
Molecule: long non-coding RNA, 1391 nt
Organism: Bombus pyrosoma
Lineage: Eukaryota; Metazoa; Arthropoda; Insecta; Hymenoptera; Apidae
Exons: 3
Source: RefSeq, a predicted model, not a curated record